Long non-coding RNA from Pomacea canaliculata, 3648 nucleotides. RefSeq lists it as uncharacterized. The record is from RefSeq and is a predicted model, not a curated record. The transcript is spliced from 5 exons. NCBI's taxonomy places the organism in Eukaryota, Metazoa, Mollusca, Gastropoda, Architaenioglossa, Ampullariidae.
UCCAUCCUGCCUCUCAAUGUCUUAAAAGUCCAAAGCGCCAGGCAUCAACAGAUCAACCCCGAAUUACACAGCAACAACUUCUCAUGUCACGAACACAAUGCUAAUGAAGAAUUUUAAUAAUUUGCUGAACAUGCAAUGAUUCCAAAAACAUUACAUCCACUGGUGUGCACCCAACAAGCAAAGGUUGGCAAGAUAGUAGCAAUAGAAAUAUUUCACCUCUCACCAAGCACCAAGGGUAUUUUUAUGCGAGUACUAUGAUAAAUUAUCUCAAGUUGCGCUUGCGCAAAGGAAGAACUGACAUCCUGUCUUGACUAAGCCCACCACUUAUAAGUGACACAUUUUGCCAUGUCCUUCUACCUUAUGGCAGUGACGCCCAGGCGUUUUGAACCAUUGACUUGUUGCAGAUUUGGUGUGUACACUCAGAUAAAGUUAGCACUGCUGUGUAAAAACAGACCUCUACCAAAGAUGGUCUCAAAAAGGAACUUUGGAACAUUAUUUUAGAUUAUACCAGGCUGUGUGAGAAAUAAGCUGUGACACAUGAACCACUGAACUGUUCCAAAAUGUCACAGAACCAGUUGAAAUUGCUUGUUUCCGUUAACAAGAAAAAAGCCACUGCAUUAUUAAAAGGCUAAAAAAAAAAGUUUAAAAAGUGACGGAAAUAUUAUUGGUGACCUAUAUGCACAGUUCUGCUCAUAUGUCUUCAUGUGGAUGCACCACCUGCUGCAAAAUCUCAAAAGGAAAAACGAUGAGGGCUUUGAUCCUGGAGCGCUCAAAGAGCUUGGAGGAGUUGUUGCCAGCAUCAAAGUCCUCAUCAACCUGACCCUCCCAGCGCACGGAGUUGGCGAGGGACUCUAUCUCAGUCAUGGUGAAGUCUUACUCAGACCCACACGACCCUGUUCCAGAGAGAACAAAAUAAGUUAAUUCCAAAGGUUUCACAACGUCUGAUGACUAGAGAAACAUUGUGCCAACGGACUAACAGCAAGACCUGAUACUGCCAAAUUUUAGUUGUUGAAGGGUUGUUUAUGCCUCUGCAUGAAGUAGCAAAAGUGUUUAUCUCUCUACCUGGGUAUUCAUAGCGGGUAGAUUAGGUGGCUGUCUUUUCAUGUUUUCGUCCGGCUCAACCGUGCUGCUCUCUCUCUCUCACUGACAAGCUAUAAACUGUUCUAAACCAAGAAGAAAAGAACUGUAAUAAUUGACGAGUUGACCAGUAUUUUCACUGAGAGUGGUAAUGCCAGUGUCCUAUACUUAUCCGCGCUUUAUUGUCAGUAGAACAACAUUGUGUAAAAUCUCAGCCAAAGAAGCUGAGGCCCAGCCUUUACGCUUGCUUCGAACGAUUGCAAACGGCAAUUAAUCGGUUGGAGGAGAAGAUGCUCGGGUCACUGAUGGUCGUGAUAUUGUAAGGAUCGUAGAUAACAGUCUCAAAAGCGUGUCUAAGUGAUGUGCAGGCUCCCCCCUGCUCACACAAAAAGAAGAUGCGCUUGAGAAAAGAGAAGAUAAAUGCUCGAUCACCUGACCAGGUAACGAUAACACCCCCUCGGCGAGUCAGUACAGAAGCCAUCGACCUCCCAGGAGUCAGUUUAUCAGAUGACAAACGAGACCUCAAGGUGUAUUCUGAUUUGGCUUCCAUGUCACAGAUGCAGGCAUUGAGACAGUCAUCUGCCUCUUUCUUGACCUUACAAGAGAACCCACAGUGGAAGGAAUGUUCCCCCGCAACAACCCCCUGACACCGACGAGGCCGUCUUCGCAAAACAAGCAGCUUUUGAAAAGAAACUUCUUACGAUGCUCGCCACGAACUUCGGAGUAAGGGCGCGCGCCAAGUGCACAUCGCAUCUGUGAGACUAGACCCUCGACUGUUCGCCACAUCUGUACCUAAGCCAUCCUCCACUCCCUCCAACAUCCCCCCAGGAUGGUCAGGAGGUGCACCGCUGAAUACCACACGUUCCGGACAGACACGGUGUUACCAUUCCGAGACCUCAAAGUACCGACACCGAGAGUCGGUGACACACAACUGCGCAGUCACCUUUCCCAUGGUCUGCUGGGUAAAUGUAUUGGAAUUUCUAGAAUAUUCGUUGUUGACAGUCACCAUUAUUGUCCUCGCCAAGUAGGGCACAAGCGUUUAUUCUAGAAUACUCGCGAUCAUUUUCAUCAACAACGAAAUAGAAAGCCGGUCUAUGGAGUCUCGUCUAACGGGUGGGCUGAUGAUGGAAAAUGUCCUGCAUUUCCCCUUUCUCCAUAAAAUAAUCCAUGGGAUUGAUCAGAUAAGCCUCAUGUAAGAAUAAUAAUAAAAAAAUGGUGGUCUUAUGAAAAGAACCGGCGGCUGAGUGAAUGAGAGAAGAGGGAUUCAGUGGAGUGGAAUGGCUUUGUAACUGAUUUUGUUGCCUCCGCCGCGCUGACCUUUAACCUUUUUUUGUUGAAGCAUCCUAGCACCCUGAUCUUAUUUUAUUGAGGGUAAAUUAGAGUUCAAAGUUAUUAUUGUUUAUUUUAUUGCCUUGCUGCAGUGUGGUGAGCUAUGAUCUUCCCUGUUUAGAACAUGACACUGCAUCGAGCUCUUGUUUGUUUAUUUAUACAUUUCAAUGUCGUGUAGUGUGACAUGUAGAGAUCACAACACAUCCAGAUUUUUGUGCUCUGUAACAUUUUUGGAACUGUAAUUAACUGGUAAUUACAGCUGCGACUGGUAUCUGUGUUGUAAUGGGCGAGAUAAGAGUUGCCAGCAAGUCGUCUGCUUGGUCUGCGACCUGUGGUAAGACGAUGCUGGAGGGCAGUGCGAUUUACAAUUACACGGAGAGCACCGGGGUAGAAUUGUUGUAAUCCACCCGAGAUUGCCGUCAUCCUAAUUGCUUGUGGGAGGGAGCUUAUUAAUUCAUGCUGCACGCUAAUAAGACAGGCGCACAGACAUAAACAGAGAAAUAAAACAGGCAGACAAACAGACAAGCACUGAAAUAGGCGUUUGGGUGGGAGGGUGCACUUUGUUUGAAAUCUCUGUAUUAUUUCAUCUGUGGCAAAUGAGACAAAAAUAGUAUUUAUGAGGUUUUUGACAGCAGUGUUAUUACCAAUGUCUCCUCUUACACGCUAGAUGGUUUUAUUACAGAAAACCUUUUCUUGGAAGUGAUAUUUUAGGUUUCUAACAAGUUUUUUUUUGGAUGUCUGUAUCUCCACAGCUGUAUUGCAGACUGCCUACUUUGCAGCUACAGUCGAAGAGCUGCUUUUCUAAAGAGGUUUUGGAAGCAGAACAAGAAUAAAUGCCGAAAAGAGAAUGUAGAACGAAGAAAAUGUCAAGAAUACUCUGAAAUAACACUGGGUGUGAGGAGGAACCCACACAGGAAGUGACGUUUGCUCUUUAUGAAUGGGAAGACAGUCGACGAGUCCUACCCCGAACCACAGCGCUAUCGCCGAUCCAGAGUACCCGGCCAAGGAAAUGAAAGCUGAUCGCUCACUCACACCCUGAGGUCAUGUCCUGGAUGAUUCGGCAACUGACGAAUAGAAGGUAUAAAGUGAAUCGUGGUGUGUCCGCGCUGGCGUACAGGUAGUCAAAUGCCGGUCAUAUGCGGGUAGAUCCUUGACUUCUGUCGGCUGUCCGGUGGGUCUGGCCGACUAGUGGGUAACAAAAUAUUUUCUGUUUGCACGAAAUAAAACUCAGAUAUAUUUCUC